UACGUAGGGUGCAAGCGUUAAUCGGAAUUACUGGGCGUAAAGCGUGCGCAGGCGGCUUUGCAAGACAGAUGUGAAAUCCCCGGGCUCAACCUGGAAACUGCAUUUGUGACUGCAAGGCUGGAGUACGGCAGAGGGGGAUGGAAUUCCGCGUGUAGCAGUGAAAUGCGUAGAUAUGCGGAGGAACACCGAUGGCGAAGGCAAUCCCCUGGGCCUGUACUGACGCUCAUGCACGAAAGCGUGGGGAGCAAACAGG
This 253-nucleotide ribosomal RNA is filed under the name uncultured bacterium. RNAcentral describes it as "partial 16S ribosomal RNA". It matches the Rfam family "Bacterial small subunit ribosomal RNA", at positions 524 to 776 of the family's 1533-position model. The record is from RNAcentral.